GAGAAAUUAAUUAAACAAUAAUACCAACUUGUCAAGUUGACAUUGCCGCGAAGGUGUUUCUCU
Molecule: transfer RNA, 63 nt
Filed under: Doru luteipes
Lineage: Eukaryota; Metazoa; Arthropoda; Insecta; Dermaptera; Forficulidae
Description: tRNA-Asp
Source: RNAcentral